AACGAACGCUGGCGGCAGGCCUAAAACAUGCAAGUCGAACGCCCCGCAAGGGGAGUGGCGCACGGGUGAGUAACGCGUGGGAACGUGCCCUUCAGUACGGAACAACGUCGGGAAACUGACGCUAAUACCGUAUAAUAUCUCCGGAUCAAAGAUUUAUCGCUGAAGGAGCGGCCCGCGUCUGAUUAGCUAGUUGGUGAGGUAAAGGCUCACCAAGGCUACGAUCAGUAGCAGGUCUGAGAGGAUGAUCUGCCACACUGGGACUGGGACACGGCCCAGACUCCUACGGGAGGCAGCAGUUAGGAAUAUUGGACAAUGGGCGAAAGCCUGAUCCAGCCAUGCCGCGUGUGUGAUGAAGGCCUUAGGGUUGUAAAGCACUUUCGUUGGGGAUGAUAAUGACCGUACCCAAAGAAGAAGCCACGGCUAAAUUCGUGCCAGCCGCCGCGGUAA
Molecule: ribosomal RNA, 447 nt
Filed under: uncultured bacterium
Lineage: Bacteria
Description: partial 16S ribosomal RNA
Rfam family: Bacterial small subunit ribosomal RNA
Source: RNAcentral